AUGAAAGCGAUGACGAACAUGGGCGAUGCCCGAAGUAGGAGAAAUGCCGCUGCUGCAGAGAGUCGGUGUAGGGUGCAAACCGAUGCAAGUAUGGCUCCGAAUUACAGUUCCGAGUUGGUUAAGGGAACAUGCUCGUUAGGGCAUCAGUAGCUUUUACCCGGCAUUCAUUUGUCGUUAUGAAACUAAGUGAAAGAGAAAUUUGCGAAUGAGAGCGCGAAUCCUUCUCUUUAAUUAGGGUGGUACCGCGAGACAACCUUCUCGUCCCUUUG
Molecule: non-coding RNA, 269 nt
Filed under: Paenibacillus sp.
Lineage: Bacteria; Bacillati; Bacillota; Bacilli; Caryophanales; Paenibacillaceae
Description: T-box sequence
Rfam family: T-box leader
About the family: Uncharged tRNA acts as the effector for transcription antitermination of genes in the T-box leader family. T-boxes are found upstream of many aminoacyl-tRNA synthetase genes and some amino acid biosynthetic genes usually in Gram-positive bacteria.
Source: RNAcentral